RNAcentral lists this long non-coding RNA (209 nucleotides) under Setaria italica (foxtail millet). Its description in RNAcentral is "long non-coding RNA (SITA_LNC005162)". Lineage: Eukaryota; Viridiplantae; Streptophyta; Magnoliopsida; Poales; Poaceae. The record is from RNAcentral.
GGGGGGUGAAUGGGAGCCUAUAAAAAUUCUCAACGAAAAUAAGGCCUAUGUCCCAAACGCAACCCCAAAGCACACGGUGCGUUCAAUCGUCAAGAUGACGCAAGUCAACUCGUGACUAGCUCACCCUAGGAACGAUAAGAGACACACAAAUCACAGCGGAAACAAGACAUAAAAUGAUUCUAACAAGUUUGCUCAAAACACGAUUAACC